This 458-nucleotide ribosomal RNA is filed under the name uncultured Rhodocyclaceae bacterium. RNAcentral describes it as "bacterial SSU rRNA". It matches the Rfam family "Bacterial small subunit ribosomal RNA", at positions 924 to 1382 of the family's 1533-position model. Lineage: Bacteria; Pseudomonadati; Pseudomonadota; Betaproteobacteria; Rhodocyclales; Rhodocyclaceae. The record is from RNAcentral.
CACAAGCGGUGGAUGAUGUGGAUUAAUUCGAUGCAACGCGAAAACCUUACCUACCCUUGACAUGUCCGGAAUCCCGAAGAGAUUUGGGAGUGCUCGCAAGAGAACCGGAACACAGGUGCUGCAUGGCUGUCGUCAGCUCGUGUCGUGAGAUGUUGGGUUAAGUCCCGCAACGAGCGCAACCCUUGUCAUUAGUUGCCAUCAUUUGGUUGGGCACUCUAAUGAGACUGCCGGUGACAAACCGGAGGAAGGUGGGGAUGACGUCAAGUCCUCAUGGCCCUUAUGGGUAGGGCUUCACACGUCAUACAAUGGUCGGUACAGAGGGUUGCCAACCCGCGAGGGGGAGCUAAUCCCACAAAGCCGAUCGUAGUCCGGAUCGCAGUCUGCAACUCGACUGCGUGAAGUCGGAAUCGCUAGUAAUCGUGGAUCAGCAUAUCACGGUGAAUACGUUCCCGGGUCUU